Molecule: long non-coding RNA, 4971 nt
Organism: Acinonyx jubatus (cheetah)
Lineage: Eukaryota; Metazoa; Chordata; Mammalia; Carnivora; Felidae
Exons: 5
Source: RefSeq, a predicted model, not a curated record
GUUCUGAGGUUUUGGGAUACCAUGUUCUAUAUAAUUCUUUUAAGUCUAUUUGUUUCUAUACCAAACAUUUUAUAGUUGUCGCACCUGCUUUGAAGGCUCUUUUCCUAUACCUUUGCAUGGACACUGCUUCAUUUCACUCAGACCUAUGCUUACAGAUGGUCUCCUCAGCCAGAUCUUCCCUCACUACCCUGUGUUAUUUUUCUUGAAGCCUGAGAGUACAUUAUGUCUGUUUGCUUAUUAUCAAUCUCCCUAACUGUAAUAGAAACUCCUUGAGGCAAACACAUCUCCCCUCUUAUUUACUGUGCUACUGUGCUAUCCCCAACACCCCAACACUUGAAAAGUAUUGCAUACUUUUCAAUAAAUGUGUUUUGAAUGAUUAAGUGAAUGAAUUAAAAUUAAUACCCAACAGAGAACUCACUAUGUAUGUAUGUAUGUAUGUAUGUAUGUAUGUGCAUGUAAAUAUCCAUAGUAUAAAAGCUUAACCCCACUUUUUUCCUUCAGUAGAUUUGGCAUUGCUCACAUAGGCACAGGUUAAAUAUGGAGGAGGAAAUGGAGAAUAAGAAGAUUCUGUUAUAGAGAUCAUCUAAAGCAGAAGCACCUGAAUUCUUUUGCCCAUUUACCUGCUACAUCCCAAGAGAGAAGGAAUUACUAAUAUCAUUAGUCAGAUGACACUCCAAGAGCCUGCCAGCAGGUCAUAUGCUUUCUGCUGCCAUAGCCUACCUGGGGCACCCUGGUCUGCUAGGAUUUGUCAGGUCGUGAAUCAGAGUGAAGCUGGAACCGGAAAGAUUAGACAGACACACACAGAAUCUGAAGCAGGCUCCAGGAUCUGAGCUGUCAGCACAGAGCCUGACGCAGGGCUCAAACUCACAAACUGCAGGAUCGUGACCUGAGCCAUCCAGGGUGCUUGGAACAGAGGAGGUGCUCAGUAAAUGGGGUCACUGGACCUGUGUUUGGAUGUGUGGAACCAGAUGCAUGUAUAAGGUAAAAAGUGAGCAUGAUGGAGUAAUGAUGUAAACACUUGGUAAUGUAGCUCUCCUAAAUGGGUGCUCCCAGGUCCUUUGGAGGUGUGGUAGACUUGAAGACAGGUGAAUGAAGGUUCAUUUCCACUCUAUUCCCAGGGAGCUCUCUGAAUUUAUCAGGACACCAGCUCCCUAAGAGACUACUAAACAAGUCAUUUCUUGUGGUUUCCAUGCCCAUAAAGCCCAAGAUUAAAAAGUCCCAUCCACAGACAUAAAAAUACAAUGCAAGAGCUACAGUAAAGCAGUUUCAAAGGAAAAUGAAUAAGCAAGAUCAACAAAAGAAAAAAUAAAGCACAAGGAAAUCAAACAUUUUAAUAGGCCCAUUUUGCAAAGCAUAAAGCUAAAACCGGGGGAUGACAGGCUUAUUUUCAUAAGCAUUAAACUCACUUCCAAACAACUUAAUGUAAGGAAUAGCCAGCCCAGCAGUGAGAACGGAAAGAAGACAUCAUUUAUCAGAAGGCCUCAUACUAUCAUUUCCAUUUGUUCAGAACAGAGGUCCACCUAUCUCUGACCGCUGGAAGCAAGCCUAUGUGCCUUGCUUUUCUGGAUGAUGUUACCACAAAAAUAAGCAAGUUCAUGCAGGUGAUCAUUUCAGGCAAAGAGUAGUUUUAAUCAGCAAGUCUGUGUAAGUGUGGAAUGAGAGCUCAUUAAAUCUCUCACCCAACCAGCCUGAAAGGCACUGCAGGCUCUCGGUGGGAGCACCAACAUUGGUUUCUCUGCCCUACUCCCCCCGUGCUCUGCAGUCUCUUCUCAACUGCACACCUCACUUCUCACUAAUGGCAUGAUCAAUUCAAAACAGGUUUGCCUGCCACUCAGCAUCAUCAUUAGCUGUAGCAUGGAUUAGAAUGAGAGAAGCCUUUUCAGAAACUACAGGAGACCAGCAAGUCAACACCUGGGGGAAAGAGGUGGGGCGGAAGAGAAGAGUGAAGGGAGGAAAAGAACAGUUACAAUUCCUGCCGCACUGUAUUAGUCUCACCUUGCAGGAACAGACAGAGCACCUGUCUUCUUUCAAGGUCCACACUUGUCCAUUGCGCUUCAGUCCUCCUUCAUGAGGGCAGUCACCAGAGCAGGAGGGCCCAGAGGGACAGAGGCAGUCAAAGCCCCCUGCCAGGUUGAUGCAGGCAGAAUCAUUCCAACAGGUAUGGGUUCUUAAGGCACAUUCAUCAAUGUCUGCAAUAAAGAAGGCACAGAGCUUUACAAUUUAGCCAAGACUGUGAUUAGAAAAUAGUCAUUUACAAUAGCAUUAAUAUUACUGAGCAUUUACUUUGUGCCAAGCUGUUCACAUGCAUUAUCUCAUUUACUCUGCAAAGCAGCUCUGUGUAGGAAAAUCUGUUCCUAUAUUUUGCAAAUAAUGAAGCUGAGGCUCAUAGAAAUGAAAUAGCAUGCCUACGGUCAUAUAGCUAAUAGGUGGCAGGUCUCAUACUCAAACCUGCAGCUGUUGGACUCCAAUUACUAAAUUAUCCAGUAGCAGCUCUAACCCAGUUUUAGGAUAUUCUCGAGAGCUGUACCAUCUAGAGGCCAUAAAUAGUCCUAAUUCAUUAACAGUGGGGAUACACCCUAUACAGAUCUGGGUCUUUUAGAAAAGGUGUGAAUAGAUCAUCCACUGAGUAGGAAUAAGUGGGCAAUUAGGGCAACCUUGAACCAAUCAGACUCCCCCAGAUCCUGGGGCCAAGGGUGAAAGAAGAGGGACUAAUUCUUGGUAGUUGCCUUGCCUAAUCAAAUCCUCUCCAUCCUAAUGGUCAGAAGCAUUUUUGUCCCCAGAAAAAAACAUCUUAGAGCUAUGGUACAUAUAGCAUGGAUGAGGAUGGAAGACACACAUAUAUUUUACGGUUUUUUAAUGACAGCUAAAUAUGGAGGGAAAGCAAAAAUCCAGUCAGCUUUCCCAGACAUUCAAAGCUUGAGUGACCUUAACAUCUCAAACACAUAGCUGUCCAGUCCUGGAUUGAGCCUCUUCCCAGUGGGCAAUCUAUUACUUCAAAAGGCAGCCAAUUCCAUCGGAUAACUCUUUUAGAAAUGUCUUCCUUAAAUGAAAUGAAAUAUAUUUUCCUAGAACUCCUACUUAUUGGUGCUAGUUGUGAGACCACUCAAGAAAAGUCAACUUGAGUUUUCUUAUUUGUGACAAUCUUUACAUGAUUUAAAGAUAUUGGUCAUUUGUUUAUCAUAGUCUUGUACUCCACUGGUCAAUCUAGUGCUAUGUCCUUCAAAUAUCCUUCAGAUGAUCCUUCUGUGCACAAGGUUUUUUUGAACACUAGGUAUUAUAAAUGUUAACAAUGACAUUUAAGACAUUGUCCUUAUGUAGGUAACAAGGAGAAACACUAGAAGGACAUAUAGAUAACUAUUGUUAGGCAUCUGAUCAGGAAGUUUAAUCCCUAUAGUAAGUUAAAAUAACAUUAUAAAUUGGGGUGCUUGGGUGGCUCAGUUGGUUAAGCGUCCGACUUAGGCUCAGGUCAUGAUCUCAUGGUUUGUGAGUUCAAGUCCCGUAUUGGGGUUUCUGCUGUCAGUUCAGAGCCCACUUCAAAUCCUCUGUUCCCUAAUCUCUGCCCCUACCCCCGACUCUCUCUUUCAAAAAUAAACAAACGUAAAAAAAAAAAAAACAGUAUGAAUUAACUUACUCUACUUCCUAAAUUUCAUGUUAAAUAUGUAUGGGUUGUGGGCAUUUGGUUAAGGGUUAUGAGCUAAAUUAAAGAAAAAAUAAUUCUAAGUGGCAUUUUCUCCUAAAGUACUCAAGCAAUAGUGCUUAAAGGCAUAAUAUAUAUUUACUGUUAGUGCUUUAUACUUAUAUAGUGUGUCAAAGGUUUUUGAAGCUUUUCCAGGAGUUAUGCCAUAUAAUUGCAAGACGGAAAUAGUUACUUUCGUUUUACAAAAUAAGAAACUAAGGCACAGAGAUGAAUAAGUGGUCACACAUCUAGUACCACGUUGAAGCAAAGGUGGUAUCCUGGGCCUUCUAACACAUGCUCUAGAGUUCUUUUCUGAACCAACUCAAGGUCUAAAGUCAUCUUUCAGAAUACUAGAAUGUUCUGUGGUUUUAUCUACUUUCAACUAUUAACCCUCUAGAUAUUGCAACCCACUUCCAAGCAUAAGAUCUUAUAUGGAUCCUCUUUAGUAUCCUUAGUUGAAAUUCUGAGAAUUACAUAAUUACUCAAAGUUUUCUAUAAUUUUGCAACUACUGUGACUUAAAAAUAAUGAGAAAUAAAUGACCUAUCUUCUAUUACUGACUGCAUGCACUGUUGGAAAAUUUGGCCUCACAGUAAAGUUACAAAGUAGAAAAUGUUACGGAGUUCAAAUACUUUAUUCCAAGAUUUUUGUCUUUGUCUCAUUAAAUGUAGUCUCAGUCAAGACAUUUAGUUAAUUAACAACGAUUCCUCUUUUUGUUGUUGUUGUUAAGUUUAUUUAUUUAUUUUGAGACAGACAAGCACACAAGCAGGGGAGGGGCAGAGAGAGAGGGGGUUGGAGGAUGUGAAGCGGGCUCUGCGUUGACAGCAGAGAGUUCGAUGAGGGGUUGGAAUUCACAAACCAUGAGAUCAUGACCUGAGCCAGUCAGACACUUAACCAACUGAGCCACGCAGGCACCCCAUGAUUCCUCCUUUAAAAACUGUGGAAAGGAACCCAAAUUGCAAUACCCAGAUUCCCAGUCAACUACAAUCUGACCUCAGUUAUGUCUUUACUGUUCCAUUGUGUCCAUGCUAUUCUCCACACAUUUGACCAUAUGGUGCUCCUACCUGGAAACCUUUCUUGUCUCCCAAGUCGUCUUCUUCUAACUCUUCUCAAUUAAGAGUGGCAUUGGAUGUGGGAGUCAGGCAACCCAUGUUUGAAAACAAGUUCUCAAUUUAAUUGAGUGCUUACUACAUAAAAGGCAUUUUACAUAUCACUGUAUGUCCUUGGUCACAUUAUUUAGCCCCUCUGACACUUAUUUAUCCCCUGUUUAAAACCAUACCCAAUGAAUUUCUGGUCU